AAAUGCGAAAUAACUUAGACACCCAUUUUGUAAAUAAUAAAGUGCAUGAAAGCUUAAGCUUCUGACGCAAUGCUUUCCACUCACUAAUAAUCACCUUAUUGCUUCAGCAAUGGAACUGGGCCGAAAAAGCCAGGGAAUCUCACAUACCUCUAUGAUGUGAUUCGGCAAGAAAAGCACUAUACGGAGGUUAACACUACACUCAUAAAUGAAACACGUAACUAUUCUCACGGAGAAUACGCCGUCCAGUACGCAGAUAAUAGUUGUAUGGUUAUAGAGUUUCCAAAGCGCACCUACUUCACCAGGAGACCUAACUGCGCAUUGUGGGUGCUCAAUACGACACUUGAUUCACCGAACCUGUACAGACACUGCGUGUACAUUAUGUUUGCCGUUUGUAAAGCUCCUAUGUAUAAUAUUUAUGAGUACGAAAAGGAAAAUUGCUCACAAUGGGGCGAACCUACCGAGGGAAAAAGUAUUAACGCUGAUAAUAAAUUGGACGGAUGUUAACGCCAGAU
This is a long non-coding RNA of Rhipicephalus sanguineus (brown dog tick), 512 nucleotides long. RefSeq lists it as uncharacterized. Lineage: Eukaryota; Metazoa; Arthropoda; Arachnida; Ixodida; Ixodidae. The transcript is spliced from 4 exons. The record is from RefSeq and is a predicted model, not a curated record.